AAUAGAUACCCCGGUAGUCCACGCCGUAAACGAUGAGUGCUAAGUGUUAGAGGGUUUCCGCCCGUUUAGUGCUGAAGUUAACGCAUUAAGCACUCCGCCUGGGGAGUACGGCCGCAAGGCUGAAACUCAAAGGAAUUGACGGGGGCCCGCACAAGCGGUGGAGCAUGUGGUUUAAUUCGAAGCAACGCGAAGAACCUUACCAGGUCUUGACAUCCUCUGACAACCCUAGAGAUAGGGCUUCUCCUUCGGGAGCAGAGUGACAGGUGGUGCAUGGUUGUCGUCAGCUCGUGUCGUGAGAUGUUGGGUUAAGUCCCGCAACGAGCGCAACCCUUGAUCUUAGUUGCCAUCAUUCAGUUGGGCACUCUAAGGUGACUGCCGGUGACAAACCGGAGGAAGGUGGGGAUGACGUCAAAUCAUCAUGCCCCUUAUGACCUGGGCUACACACGUGCUACAAUGGACGGUACAAAGAGCUGCAAGACCGCGAGGUGGAGCUAAUCUCAUAAAACCCGUUCUCAGUUCGGA
RNAcentral lists this ribosomal RNA (522 nucleotides) under uncultured bacterium. Its description in RNAcentral is "bacterial SSU rRNA". It matches the Rfam family "Bacterial small subunit ribosomal RNA", at positions 777 to 1297 of the family's 1533-position model. The record is from RNAcentral.